AUACUUACCUGGAUGGGGUUAAUGAGUGAUCAUAAAGACUCAUGGCCUAAGUUGUUGACUUCCAUUGCACGUUGAAGGGGUGUCAAUUUAAGGUUUACCCAAGCGGUAAAGUUUACGUCAUAAUUUAUUGUAAUGGGGGUCUGUGUUCGUGCGACCCCUUC
RNAcentral lists this small nuclear RNA (161 nucleotides) under Ipomoea nil (Japanese morning glory). RNAcentral's name for it is "U1 spliceosomal RNA". It matches the Rfam family "U1 spliceosomal RNA". From Rfam's summary of the family: U1 is a small nuclear RNA (snRNA) component of the spliceosome (involved in pre-mRNA splicing). Its 5' end forms complementary base pairs with the 5' splice junction, thus defining the 5' donor site of an intron. There are significant differences in sequence and secondary structure between metazoan and yeast U1 snRNAs, the latter being much longer (568 nucleotides as compared to 164 nucleotides in human). Lineage: Eukaryota; Viridiplantae; Streptophyta; Magnoliopsida; Solanales; Convolvulaceae. The record is from Rfam by way of RNAcentral.